RNAcentral lists this unclassified non-coding RNA (317 nucleotides) under uncultured Trichocomaceae. Its description in RNAcentral is "sequence contains ITS1". The stretch from base 1 to 105 matches the Rfam family "5.8S ribosomal RNA", at positions 50 to 154 of the family's 154-position model. The record is from RNAcentral. Lineage: Eukaryota; Fungi; Ascomycota; Eurotiomycetes; Eurotiales; Trichocomaceae.
GAACUGCGAUAAGUAGUGUGAAUUGCAGAAUUCAGUGAAGCAUCGAGUCUUUGAACGCACAUUGCGCCCCCUGGCAUUCCGGGGGGCAUGCCUGUCCGAGCGUCAUUGCUACCCUCAAGCACGGCUUGUGUGUUGGGCCGCCGUCCGCCCCGCCCCGCGGGGGGGACGCGCCCGAAAGGCAGCGCCGGCACCGCGUCCGGUCCUCUAGCCGAUGGGGCGGCGUCACCCGCUCCGUGGGACAGGCCGGCGCCAGGCUUCGUCAACCACUUCUGUUCUAGUAUGACCUCGGAUCAGGUAGGGAUACCCGCUGAACUUAA